AUGGCGGUGGCGAUCUUCCUCUCGGGCUUCCUCCUCGGCCUCCUCGCGCUCGCCCUCGCGGAGGGGGCGGCGCUUCUCUGGGCCGUCCGCGCCCUGCGCCGCCGCGGGCCAAGGCCUCCUCCGCCUCCGGAGGCCGCCGCCACCGAGCUCUCCGGCGACCGGCCGUUCCCCGCCGAGAAGCAGGGUUUUCUCUGGAUGUUAGAGCCAGGAAAGGUGCCAAAAGUUAGAAACGGCAACCGCUUACCACCAACUGGGGUUCAGAAAGGCGUGAAGGAUAAAAAGAACAUCGUCGAGGUUUCUCCGAUAAGGAUGCGGGCUAAAAUUCAAGGCCACUCGCUUGUCUUGACAGGUUCCGAUGGUUCUCAGAUAACUAUUGGGCUUCUGGAUUGCACUGUUCUUGCUGUUUCUGCUUCUAACCUACCGUCGCGUAAAUGGUCUAAGAGGUAUCCGAUAAAACUAGAAAGCAAGGGAUCUGAGAUUUGCAAGCGGAGCAAGGUAUGCUAUCUUUAUGUGGACACCUCUUGGGAGAAAGAAUCAUGGUGUAAAGCACUUCGUCUUGCAUCUUCUACAGACAAGGAGAAACUGAAAUUGCAUACCAGGUUGAGUGAAGAGUUCAGAAGUUACAUAUCCUCUUUACACGCUGGAUACCCUUGUUUCCUGAAAUCAACUGCACUUUCUGCUGAGGAUCGUGAAAUUAUGGACAAGGCAGUAAAGUCUGAUGGGUCGUCAAAAAUGCGCCUUUUCCUUAAGAAGUUGGCUAGGAAGGCAUCUAUAAAAGCUCCCCAGUUGACUAGAACAAGCUCAACCUCAGCACAAGCAGAAAGAAAGACGCUCCAAAAAACACGCAGCUACAAUGGUGCCGCACUGAUUGAUGCACAAGAAGAAAGGUCAAGCAGUAGUUCAUCAUUACUAGACAUAAAGCAACCCAGUACGCCUAGUUCUGAUUUCAGUUACAGCAACAGGUUCUCAGAUUCUCCUGAAACAAAUGUAGAUGAAAAGUUUACUGACGAAGGCACACUUUGUUGGAACCUCCUAAUCUCUCGGUUGUUUUUUGAUGCUAAAAUGAGUGAUGAUAUAAGUAAAUCCAUUAAAACACGCCUUCAGCGAAAAUUGUCAAACAUGAGAACUGCCUCCUAUAUAGGUGAAAUUACACUUACUGAUUUCAGUCUUGGGGAACUUCCACCAUAUUUGCGUAGGAUGAGAGUCGUCCCAAGGGAUCUCAAUGAACUGUGGGCUUUCGAAUUUGAUUUUGAAUAUUGUAGUGAAAUAAUACUGAAUGCUGAAGCAAGACUUGAGGUUCAGGAACCAGAGCUGAAAAAAGACAUAAUGAGAGCUACUCCCGAAGCGGAUACUAAUGGCAACCAAUUUGAACCUUCGCAACUUUUGGCUUCUGUAGUGGAAGAUGAAGAUGAGGCAGAUGUGUUAAGGCGCUCAAAAAGCACUGGGAGGACAUCAAGGUGGAAAACUAUCUUGCAUUCAAUCACUGACCAUGUCUCUCAGGUGCCGUUUUCGUUGGCAAUUAAAGUAACUUCUAUUCGUGGGACAAUGCGCAUGCAUAUAAAGCCUCCUCCCUCAGAUCAAAUCUGGUAUGGAUUUACAUCAAUGCCAGAGCUUGUGUGGGAAUUGGAGUCUUCAGUUGGGGACAGGAAGAUCACCAACAGCCACAUCGCUUCGCUUAUCAGCAACAGAAUCAAGGCUUCGCUUCACCAAAGCUUGGUACUGCCGAAUUGUGAAAGUAUUCCCAUGUCAUGGAUGAUAUCAGAGAAGGAUGAUUGGGUGCCUCGCAGAGCUGCACCUUUUAUAUGGCUGAAUCGUGAACACGGCGAGGCAGCAAGCAGUCAUAGUUCAGACAUGGGUAAGCUCCAGCCUGAUGAUGUUGCCGCACUAAAGGUCAGUUCCAACAGCGAAGCUAGCAAAUCAAGUCCACCUGCUCCUUCAACUAGAAGCGACGACGAAGCGCUGAAGAAGGUGACAUCCACUCGUUGGCCUAACCAAGAAUCCACAACAGAAGCAUCAACCAGCUCUGGUUCUUCCGUACCUUCAGAAGCUGAACCUUCUAACCAGUUGAUGGCGCCGCUGCUGAGCACCAGGGAAUUCGAGGAAGAUGCUUCUGAAAAUGCAGCAGUGGGCUCUUCUCUUCAGUUAGUAGCGGUGAUACCUGCUGGGCAUCGGCGGCCGCCAUUGUCAUCCUCUGCUUCUCCUGGGGAGUAUGACCUAAAGAGGAAAGGCAGCCAGCGAGCUGCGGUGAUCGGUUUGGGGAGGAAGAUGAGCGGCAAAUUGGAAGAAAAGACGCGGCAUAUUGUCGAGAAGAUUAAGGAGAGUUCUGGAAAGGAGCAAUAG
Molecule: ribosomal RNA, 2340 nt
Filed under: Triticum aestivum (bread wheat)
Lineage: Eukaryota; Viridiplantae; Streptophyta; Magnoliopsida; Poales; Poaceae
Description: partial small subunit ribosomal RNA
Source: RNAcentral